CCUUUCUCCUGAGUAAUACCUUCUCCUGUAAAUAGAGGAGGGAGGGAGGGAAAAGGAAACCAAGCAACUUCACCGCCUCACUAAACAUGAAUAUCCCCAGAAUAUUUGUUUGGACAAAUAAAAUGGAUUAACUGGAUGAGGACCAAAGCUUAUGGGUCCCCUGUUUGCAGGUCACUCAGCUCACCUGUAGCCAGCUGGCUGUGGCAUCAGGAGGAACAUGGCCCAUAGAGCAGAGAGAAGUCAGGAGGUCUAAGCCAACAUCAAAGAAGAACUUACAGGAUGAGAUAGGACAAGAGUUUUAUAGAUGGCCUCUACCGGAGCAUAGAGGUGUUGUGAGCAGAAGAGAGAGAGAAGUAGUCUGCUCCCUGUGAUGCCUC
RNAcentral lists this long non-coding RNA (377 nucleotides) under Numida meleagris (helmeted guineafowl). Its description in RNAcentral is "lncRNA (ENSNMEG00000014872.1)". The record is from RNAcentral. Lineage: Eukaryota; Metazoa; Chordata; Aves; Galliformes; Numididae.